RNAcentral lists this ribosomal RNA (423 nucleotides) under uncultured bacterium. Its description in RNAcentral is "bacterial SSU rRNA". It matches the Rfam family "Bacterial small subunit ribosomal RNA", at positions 207 to 622 of the family's 1533-position model. The record is from RNAcentral.
AAGACCUUGCACUUUUGGAGCGGCCGAUGUCUGAUUAGCUUGUUGGUAAGGUAAAAGCUUACCAAGGCUUCGAUCAGUAGCUGGUCUGAGAGGACGGCCAGCCACACUGGGACUGAGACACGGCCCAGACUCCUACGGGAGGCAGCAGUGGGGAAUUUUGGACAAUGGGGGCAACCCUGAUCCAGCCAUGCCGCGUGAGUGAAGAAGGCCUUCGGGUUGUAAAGCUCUUUCAGCCGGAACGAAACGGUUACGGUUAAUACCCGUGAUUACUGACGGUACCGGAAGAAGAAGCACCGGCUAACUACGUGCCAGCAGCCGCGGUAAUACGUAGGGUGCGAGCGUUAAUCGGAAUUACUGGGCGUAAAGCGUGCGCAGGUGGUUUUGUAAGACAGAUGUGAAAGCCCCGGGCUCAACCUGGGAACU